AACGCGAAGAACCUUACCUACCCUUGACAUGUCAGGAAUCCCGAAGAGAUUUGGGAGUGCCGCAAGGAACCUGAACACAGGUGCUGCAUGGCUGUCGUCAGCUCGUGUCGUGAGAUGUUGGGUUAAGUCCCGCAACGAGCGCAACCCUUGUCAUUAGUUGCCAUCAUUUAGUUGGGCACUCUAAUGAGACUGCCGGUGACAAACCGGAGGAAGGUGGGGAUGACGUCAAGUCCUCAUGGCCCUUAUGGGUAGGGCUUCACACGUCAUACAAUGGUCGGUACAGAGGGUUGCCAACCCGCGAGGGGGAGCCAAUCCCAGAAAGCCGAUCGUAGUCCGGAUCGUAGUCUGCAACUCGACUACGUGAAGUCGGAAUCGCUAGUAAUCGCGAUCAGAA
RNAcentral lists this ribosomal RNA (394 nucleotides) under uncultured bacterium. Its description in RNAcentral is "bacterial SSU rRNA". It matches the Rfam family "Bacterial small subunit ribosomal RNA", at positions 958 to 1354 of the family's 1533-position model. The record is from RNAcentral.